GGAAAAACCAUCUAGAAUUUAUGAUUCCAAACAAUUCAUAGGAAUUGGUACUCUACAUCUAUAUUAGGUGAGAGAAGAAAGUGACAAAGCACGGGGAACGGGAUAUGAAUCAGCCUGGAGACUGGUUAUGGAUUCUUUGUUGCAGCUGCUAUAACUUUAGGAUAACACAGGUAAAGCUACCUUUAUCAUUCUUAAGCAGCGGAAGUUGAGUCCAGAAAGUGUUCAACGCAUGGAAGCAUCUCCAUGAGAAGCAACAGAACGCCAAGAAGGCCAUUAACAGCAGAUUACAUUAUAAGACACAAGAAAGACAGCUAGACAGCGAGUGAACAAACAGAGAAGGCAUAAAAAGCAAAAGCUUCUCCUUUUAUCUGGUUUGUGUGCCUUUCUUUUUCUUCCUUAUACAUUUUAUCUACUUAUUUGUUUUGUAGAAAGACUGUAAAAUAGUUGAACAUGACUGAACUGUGAAAGGACAGUAGAUGAAUAGAGAAUUGUGGAAUAACAGCACCUGCCUUAGAACAUUAUGCGUCUGCAUCCCUGAAGAUAUGCAUGCCUCUAUUUGGAAACUCAAUGAACAGAAAGCACAACAUUAUUUAAUAUUGUCUGUUAAUUUGCCUCAGCUGGAGACAGCUCACCCAUCCUGAUAUGGUACCUGCAUGCAUAGA
RNAcentral lists this long non-coding RNA (662 nucleotides) under Gallus gallus (chicken). RNAcentral describes it as "lncRNA (ENSGALG00010026826.1)". Lineage: Eukaryota; Metazoa; Chordata; Aves; Galliformes; Phasianidae. The record is from RNAcentral.